ACAAUUUAUGAUGAUCAACAAGGGACUUAAUACUGAUGUGUGAUGUCACCUGUUUUAUUCUGAAUUUG
Small nucleolar RNA from Larimichthys crocea (large yellow croaker), 68 nucleotides. Its record names the gene SNORD82. It matches the Rfam family "Small nucleolar RNA SNORD82". From Rfam's summary of the family: snoRNA U82 or Z25 is found in both humans and mice. U82/Z25 is a member of the C/D class of snoRNA which contain C (UGAUGA) and D (CUGA) box motifs. Most of the members of the box C/D family function in directing site-specific 2'-O-methylation of substrate RNAs. NCBI's taxonomy places the organism in Eukaryota, Metazoa, Chordata, Actinopteri, Sciaenidae. The record is from Ensembl.